Molecule: ribosomal RNA, 453 nt
Filed under: uncultured bacterium
Lineage: Bacteria
Description: partial 16S ribosomal RNA
Rfam family: Bacterial small subunit ribosomal RNA
Source: RNAcentral
GAUGAACGCUGGCGGUCUGCUUAACACAUGCAAGUCGAACGGAAUCCUUCGGGAUUUAGUGGCGGACGGGUGAGUAACGCGUGAGAAUCUGCCUUCAGGUUCGGGACAACAGCUGGAAACGGCUGCUAAUACCAGAUGUGCCGAGAGGUGAAAGCUUUAGUGCCUGAAGAUGAGCUCGCGUCUGAUUAGCUAGUAGGAGUGGUAAUGGCACCCCUAGGCGACGAUCAGUAGCUGGUCUGAGAGGAUGAUCUGCCACACUGGGACUGAGACACGGCCCAGACGCCUACGGGAGGCAGCAGUGGGGAAUUUUCCGCAAUGGGCGCAAGCCUGACGGAGCAAGACCGCGUGAGGGAAGAAGGUCUGUGGAUUGUAAACCUCUUUUGAUGGGGAAGAAGACAGUGACGGUACCCAUCGAAUCAGCCUCGGCUAACUCCGUGUCAGCCGCCGCAGUAA